This 253-nucleotide ribosomal RNA is filed under the name uncultured bacterium. RNAcentral's name for it is "partial 16S ribosomal RNA". It matches the Rfam family "Bacterial small subunit ribosomal RNA", at positions 524 to 776 of the family's 1533-position model. The record is from RNAcentral.
UACAGAGGUGGCAAGCGUUGUUCGGAAUUACUGGGCGUAAAGGGCGCGUAGGCGGCCUUCUAAGUCAGACGUGAAAUCCCUCGGCUCAACCGGGGAACUGCGUCUGAUACUGGGUGGCUUGAAUCCGGGAGAGGGAUGCGGAAUUCCAGGUGUAGCGGUGAAAUGCGUAGAUAUCUGGAGGAACACCGGUGGCGAAGGCGGCAUCCUGGACCGGCAUUGACGCUGAGGCGCGAAAGCCAGGGGAGCAAACGGG